This 445-nucleotide small RNA is filed under the name Vigna angularis var. angularis. RNAcentral's name for it is "Non-protein coding transcript". Lineage: Eukaryota; Viridiplantae; Streptophyta; Magnoliopsida; Fabales; Fabaceae. The record is from RNAcentral.
CUAAAGCUAACAACUUCAACAGGAAAAUCUUGCGGGCCAAAAAGGUUUCUCCUUUCUCUCUCUUUCUCCCCUUCAUAUUGUUAAACUAGUGUCUGUAUUGUCUUGUGUUGCAGAGAACCUGGAGCUGACCAAAAGUUUAAAGAAAUCAACAACGCAUAUGAGGUGUUAUCAGAUGAUGAGAAACGAUCCAUAUAUGACAGAUUUGGAGAGGCUGGACUUAAACGUUCUGGAAUGGGGACGGGGUAAGUUACCUUUGAUGAUGUAUGAUUUAAUUUUUUAUUCUCGUUUCUCAACGAAGGAUUUCUCUGUUAUGCCAAGAUUUCAGCAAUCUAUUUGAUCUGUUCGAAUCAUUGUUUGAAGGCAUGAAUCGCAGUGCAGGCUCCAGAGGUUCUUGUAACGAUGCAAUUGAUGGUGUCGUGGGCAAAACCUGUUUGCUUAUUUCCUA